AUGGCGGCCUCGGAGGCGGCGGCGACAGUGUCCCCGGCUCUCAUGGCCUCAGGCCCGUGGGUGACCCCGGGACCCCGACUGAGGGGCAGCCGGCCGCGGCCCACAGGGGCGACGCAGCAGCCCGCGGCCCCCGUGCUGGCGGGGAUGCUGAUCCAGCAGUAGGUGAGCGAGCUGUCCCAGGCCGUGUGGACCAACAUCCUGUGCACCGUGCGCGGCUGCCGCAAGAUCCUGCCCAACAGCCACGCGCUCAACAUGCACCUGGUCAAGAGCCACCGCCUGCAGGAUAGCAUAGUCAAUUCAACAAUAAGAAAAGAUUUGAAAACUAUACCGAAAUUCUACUGUUGUCCAAUCGAAGGCUGACCCAGAGGCCCUGACAGACCAUUUUCUCAGUUUUCUCUCGUAAAACAGCACUUCUGAAAAUGCAUGCUGAGAAGAAGCACAAAUGUAGUAAGUGCAGCAAUUCGUACGGUACAGAAUGGGACCUGAAAAGACACGCAGAGGACUGUGGCAAGACCUUCCGGUGCACAUGCGGCUGUCCCUACGCCAGUAGAACAGCAUUGCAGUCUCACAUCUACCGAACUGGCCACGAGAUCCCUGCAGAACACAGGGACCCACCUAGUAAGAAAAGGAAAAUGGAAAACUGUGCAAAACCAGAAGCUAUCCAACAAGACCACUGAAUCAUUUAACAACCAACCAAUCAAUCCCUAGACCAGACACUCAAGAACUAGAAGCUUCAGAAAUAACGCUAGAACCAUCUUUUGAAGACUCUUGUGGCUCUAACACUGACAGGCAGACUCUUACAACACCACCGAGAUAUCCUCAGAAGUUGCUUUUACCAAAGCCCAAAGUGGCUUUGCUUAAACUACCCGUGAUGCAGUUUUCCCUCAUGCCUGUCUUUGUGCCUACAGCCGACUCCUCAGCCCAGCCUGUGCUGUUAGGUGUCGAUCAGGGCUCUGCCACAGGGGCUGUGCAGUUACCGCCCUUGUCAGUAGGAACCCUGAUCCUUGGCCUAGAUUCAGAGGCUUGCUCUCUUAAGGAGAGCCUACCUCUUUCCUAAAUUGCUGAUCCUGCUGCUGUUGAGCCAAUAAGUACUGGUGUUCAAGUGAACUUGGGUAAAAGUCCAUCUAAUCCUUUACAAGAACUAAGGAACACAUGUCAAAAGAACAGCAUUUCUUCAAUCAAUGUGCAGACAGAUCUGUCUUAUGCCUCACAAAACUUUAUACCUUCUGCACAGUGGGCCACCACUGAUUCCUCUGUGUCGUCUUGUUCUCAAACUGAUUUGUUGUUUGAUUCUCAAGUGUCUCUUCCCAUUAGUGUUCACACUCAGACAUUUUUGCCCAGCUCUAAGGUAACUUCAUCUAUAGCUGCUCAGACUGAUGCAUUUAUGGACACCUGUUUCCAGUCGGGUGGGGUCUCCAGAGAAACUCAAACCAGUGGGAUACGAAGUCCAACAGAUGACCAUGUACAGAAGGACCAAGCUGGAAUGUGCGGAGACAUUUUUGAGAGUGUUCAUUCAUCAUAUAAUGUUAAUACAAGUAACAUUAUAAGCAACAGUUUAGUAGCAGAGACAGUAACUCAUAGUUUGUUACCUCAGAAUGAGCCUAAGACUUUAAAUCAAGAUAUUGAGAAAUGUGCACCAAUUAUAAACUUCAGUGCACAGAAUAGUAUGCUUCCUUUACAGAACAUGACAGAUAAUCAGACCCAAACCACAGAUUUAUUAAAUGAUUUGGAAAACAUCUUGUCAAGUAAUCUGCCUGCUCAGACACUGGAUCAUCGUAGUCUUUUGUCUGACAGAAAUCCUGGACCUGACACCCAGCUCCCAUCUGGCCCAGCCCAGAACCCUGGAAUCAAUUUUAAUAUCGAAGAGUUCUUUUUGGCCUCACAUAUCCAGACUCAAACUGAAGAGAAUGAACUUAGCACCAUGAACAACGAGCCAGUCUUGGAGUCACUGGACAUAGAGACUCAAACGGACUUCUUACUCGCAGAUACCUCUGCUCAGUCCUACGGGUGUAGGGGAAAUUCUAACUUCUUAGGCCUUGAGAUGUUUGACACACAGACACAGACAGACUUAAACUUUUUCUUAGACAGUAGUCCUCAUCUGCCUCUGGGAAGUAUUCUGAAACACUCCAGCUUUUCCAUGAGUACUGAUUCAUCUGACACAGAGACCCAAACUGAAAGAAUCUCCACUGCUAAAAAUAUACCUGCUCUAGAAAGCAAAGUUCAGUUGAACAGUAUAGAAACACAGACCAUGAGUUCUGGGUUUGAAACCCUGGGGAGCUUGUUCUUCACCAGCAACGAAACACAAACAGCAAUGGACGACUUUCUUCUGGCUGAUAUGGCCUGGAACAUGAUGGAGUCUCAGUUCAGCUCUGUAGAAACCCAGACUUCUGCGGAACCACACACAGUCUCCAACUUCUAAAACUAACAGUGGAGUCCAUGUGUGAGACGGCAUCUACCAUUUCCUCUGGAUUAAAACUAUGGACGGGGGACAACAGUAUUAAUUCGAUUGAAUGUGGCUGAUGAUGCAGUUGCUUAGCUUCUUUGCAGUUCUUUGCCUUUUGUACUUGUAAACAGAAAUUUGUGUAUAAAUGUGAGUGUAUUAUAAAGUUUGAGAUGUUGAUCUAAAAAAAAAA
This is an RNA transcript of Nomascus leucogenys (northern white-cheeked gibbon), 2633 nucleotides long. It is a transcript of the gene named ATM interactor pseudogene, with no coding region annotated. The transcript has a single exon. NCBI's taxonomy places the organism in Eukaryota, Metazoa, Chordata, Mammalia, Primates, Hylobatidae. The record is from RefSeq and is a predicted model, not a curated record.